This 369-nucleotide ribosomal RNA is filed under the name uncultured bacterium. RNAcentral describes it as "bacterial SSU rRNA". It matches the Rfam family "Bacterial small subunit ribosomal RNA", at positions 527 to 896 of the family's 1533-position model. The record is from RNAcentral.
GUAGGCAGCAAGCGUUGUUCGGAAUUACUGGGCGUAAAGAGUGUGUAGGCGGUGUUCUAAGUUUGUCGUGAAAUCUCCUGGCUUAACUGGGAGGGUGCGGCGAAAACUGGAAUGCUAGAGGAUGGGAGAGGUAAGCGGAAUUCCUGGUGUAGCGGUGAAAUGCGUAGAUAUCAGGAGGAACACCUGUGGUGUAGACAGCUUACUGGACCAUUUCUGACGCUGAGACACGAAAGCGUGGGUAGCAAACAGGAUUAGAUACCCUGGUAGUCCACGCCCUAAACGAUGCAUACUUGGUGUGAGCGAUUCAUUUCGUUCGUGCCGGAGCUAACGCGUUAAGUAUGCCGCCUGGGGAGUACGGUCGCAAGGCUG